This 498-nucleotide ribosomal RNA is filed under the name uncultured Glomeromycotina. RNAcentral describes it as "partial small subunit ribosomal RNA". It matches the Rfam family "Eukaryotic small subunit ribosomal RNA", at positions 591 to 1092 of the family's 1831-position model. The record is from RNAcentral. Lineage: Eukaryota; Fungi; Glomeromycota.
CCAAUAGCGUAUAUUAAAGUUGUUGCAGUUAAAAAGCUCGUAGUUGAAUUUCGGGAUCAGUACGUUGGUCGUGCCUUCGGUACGUACUGGCGUUACUGGUUCCUACCUUCUGAGGAACCGUCAUGUCAUUAAUUUGGUGUGGUGGGAAAUCAGGACUGUUACUUUGAAAAAAUUAGAGUGUUUAAAGCAGGCUCGCGCUUGAAUACAUUAGCAUGGAAUAAUGAAAUAGGACGUUCGAUCCUAUUUUGUUGGUUUCUAGGAUUGACGUAAUGAUUAAUAGGGAUAGUUGGGGGCAUUAGUAUUCAAUUGUCAGAGGUGAAAUUCUUGGAUUUAUUGAAGACUAACUACUGCGAAAGCAUUUGCCAAGGAUGUUUUCAUUAAUCAAGAACGAAAGUUAGGGGAUCGAAGACGAUCAGAUACCGCCGUAGUCUUAACCAUAAACUAUGCCGACUAGGGAUCGGAUGAUGUUAUUUUUAAUGACUCAUUCGGCGCCUUACG